AGCGUAGGCGGUCUUGCAAGUCUGAAGUGAAAAACCCUGGGCUCAACCCUGGGAUUGCUUUGGAAACUGUAGGACUGGAGUGUCGGAGGGGCGAUGUGGAAUUCCUGGUGUAGCGGUGAAAUGCGUAGAUAUCAGGAGGAACACCAGUGGCGAAGGCGGCAUGCUGGACGAUAACUGACGCUGAUGCUGAAAGCUGGGGGGCAAACA
This 207-nucleotide ribosomal RNA is filed under the name uncultured bacterium. Its description in RNAcentral is "partial 16S ribosomal RNA". It matches the Rfam family "Bacterial small subunit ribosomal RNA", at positions 568 to 774 of the family's 1533-position model. The record is from RNAcentral.